Molecule: ribosomal RNA, 1483 nt
Filed under: uncultured prokaryote
Description: partial 16S ribosomal RNA
Rfam family: Bacterial small subunit ribosomal RNA
Source: RNAcentral
AGAGUUUGAUCCUGGCUCAGGAUGAACGCUAGCGGCAGGCCUAACACAUGCAAGUCGAGGGGUAACGAUGGAGCUUGCUCCAGGCGACGACCGGCGCACGGGUGAGUAUCGCGUUUGUAACCUACCUUUAACUGGAGAAUAGCCCGAAGAAAUUCGGAUUAAUACUCCAUAACACUAUGAUCUGGCAUCUUAUUAUAGUUAAAGCUCCGGCGGUUAAAGAUGGGCAUGCGUUCUAUUAGUUAGUUGGUGAGGUCACGGCUCACCAAGACCACGAUAGGUAGGGGGUCUGAGAGGACUAUCCCCCACACUGGUACUGAGACACGGACCAGACUCCUACGGGAGGCAGCAGUGAGGAAUAUUGCGCAAUGGACGAAAGUCUGACGCAGCCAUGCCGCGUGCAGGAUGACAGCGCUAUGCGUUGUAAACUUCUUUUAUACAGGAAGAAACCCCCGAACGUGUUCGGGGCUGACGGUACUGUAAGAAUAAGGACCGGCUAACUCCGUGCCAGCAGCCGCGGUAAUACGGAGGAUCCAAGCGUUAUCCGGAUUUAUUGGGUUUAAAGGGUUCGUAGGCGGGGCAUUAAGUCAGUGGUGAAAUCCUGCAGCUUAACUGUAGAACUGCCAUUGAUACUGUCAUCCUUGAAUAUAGUUGAGGUAGGCGGAAUGUAUAAUGUAGCGGUGAAAUGCUUAGAUAUUAUACAGAACACCGAUUGCGUAGGCAGCUUACUAAGCUAUUAUUGACGCUGAGGCACGAAAGCGUGGGGAGCGAACAGGAUUAGAUACCCUGGUAGUCCACGCCGUAAACGAUGAUUACUCGUUGUUGGCAAUACAUCGUCAGCGACUGAGCGAAAGCAUUAAGUAAUCCACCUGGGGAGUACGAUCGCAAGAUUGAAACUCAAAGGAAUUGACGGGGGCCCGCACAAGCGGUGGAGCAUGUGGUUUAAUUCGAUAAUACGCGAGGAACCUUACCAGGGCUUAAAUGCAGAACGACAGAUUUGGAAACAAGUCCUUCUUCGGACGGACUGCAAGGUGCUGCAUGGUUGUCGUCAGCUCGUGCCGUGAGGUGUCAGGUUAAGUCCUAUAACGAGCGCAACCCUCAUCAUUAGUUGCCAGCGAGUAAUGUCGGGGACUCUAAUGAAACUUCCGGUGUAAACCGAGAGGAAGGUGGGGAUGACGUCAAGUCAGCACGGCCCUUAUGUCCAGGGCUACACACGUGUUACAAUGGUCGGUACAAAGGGCAGCUACCUGGUGACAGGAUGCUAAUCUCUAAAACCGAUCUCAGUUCGGAUCGAAGUCUGCAACUCGACUUCGUGAAGCUGGAUUCGCUAGUAAUCGCGCAUCAGCCAUGGCGCGGUGAAUACGUUCCCGGGCCUUGUACACACCGCCCGUCAAGCCAUGGAAGCUGGGGGUACCUGAAGUUCGUAACCGCAAGGAGCGACCUAGGGUAAAACUGGUAACUGGGGCUAAGUCGUAACAAGGUAGCC